CGGGUCAACAGAGGGAUGCAAAACCGUGAGGUGGAGCGAACCCCUAAAAGCCGUCCCAGUUCAGAUCGCAGUCUGCAACCCGACUGCGUGAAGUCGGAAUCGCUAGUAAUCGCGGAUCAGCAUGCCGCGGUGAAUACGUUCCCGGGCCUUGUACACACCGCCCGUCACACCAUGAGAGUCGGGAACACCCGAAGUCCGUAGCCUAACCGCAAGGGGGGCACGGCCGAAGGUGGGCUCGAUAAUUGGGGUGAAGUCGUAACAAGGUAGC
RNAcentral lists this ribosomal RNA (268 nucleotides) under uncultured bacterium. RNAcentral's name for it is "partial 16S ribosomal RNA". It matches the Rfam family "Bacterial small subunit ribosomal RNA", at positions 1234 to 1500 of the family's 1533-position model. The record is from RNAcentral.